CGUUCUUUGCAAAGAUUAGAUGGAAAAGUAAUCUUCUUCAGCAAUUCAUUAAGAGAUGCAAAGAAACGUUACUGUCCAGUAAGGAAACAAUACAAAGUUUGAUCAAAUUCACCAAAAUGUGAUAUUCUACAUCUACCAAGUAGCGAUCUUCAACAAGGAAUUCAUGCGAAGUUAUAUGGAUUUUUUCUACUUGGAUCAUCUGUUAAGUGUUUUGUCACAAAAGUCGUGUAUUAGAGGAAUUGUCAAAAAAAUAGUCUUAGGUAUGUUAAGGCUAUCCCUCCUUUCUUUUUAACAUGAUCUAUACGAAAUAAACGAAACGAGCAAAUACACAACUUUUAUAAAUGACUCAAUUUAUAGAAAUUCUAGGGAUGUUUAUAUUCUUGAUUCCCCAUGUUAUUAUAUCUUAUGUUCAUGUGUCUCAAAAAAUACGUAUUUGAUAAAGUUUAUCCGAAAAGCAUAUUAAUUUUUAUGUCAAUCCGAGAAAAUCUGAUUAGCGAAUUUUUUAUGUAUCGCAUGCAUUUAUACAUGUAAAUUGAGCGAUAAAUAGAUGGUGUUAUAUACACAUAUAUUUGUAUAUUAUAUGUAUAUAGGAUAUGAGAAAAGGUUACAAUAUUAUAUACGCACCACCACCUGAUCAGCUGAUACAUGUUGAUGAUUUGCCCCCAGUGGCCGAGAUGAUAUAAUGGGAUACCCUCAGACUGAGGAUAUUAUGAACACAUGUACCUAUGCACGACAUGAUAUUCAUACGCAUAUGCAUGAAAUUAUAAGUACUUCAUGAUUUAUAGAGUUAUCUAGACUUACAAGUUGUCAUUUACUCUAUAUUUUUUCCAUGACUGUUAUGUACUUAUUUAUGUACCUUACAUACUCAAUACAUUAUUUGUACCGACGUCCCUUUCACCUUGCGACACUAUGUUUCAUGCCCGCAGAUCCCGAUAGAUAAGUCGAGGGCCCUCCAAGUAGGCAAUCAUCUCAACAGAAGAUGUUGGUGCGCUCCAUUUACUUCGAAGUUGCAUGUUUGGUUAGCAUAGUUUAGAUGUAUAUUGUUUGGUAUGGUGGGACUCUGUCCCAACCUUUAUGAAAUUAUGUAUCCUUACAGGCUUGUAGGUAGAUGUCAUGUAUGUAAAAGAUUAUAUGGCCUUGUUGGCCUAUGAUCAGUAUACGAGUAGUUAUUUGGCUUUAUAUGCUCGUAUGUCCUAUGUAUAAGUUUGGAUUAUGUAUUUUGGAUCGUCCAAUAUCGAGUAUUUCUC
This 1247-nucleotide long non-coding RNA is filed under the name Nicotiana benthamiana. RNAcentral describes it as "long non-coding RNA (NBEN_LNC012802)". The record is from RNAcentral. Lineage: Eukaryota; Viridiplantae; Streptophyta; Magnoliopsida; Solanales; Solanaceae.